RNAcentral lists this ribosomal RNA (257 nucleotides) under uncultured Stenotrophomonas sp. RNAcentral describes it as "partial 16S ribosomal RNA". It matches the Rfam family "Bacterial small subunit ribosomal RNA", at positions 96 to 354 of the family's 1533-position model. Lineage: Bacteria; Pseudomonadati; Pseudomonadota; Gammaproteobacteria; Lysobacterales; Lysobacteraceae. The record is from RNAcentral.
UGGCGGACGGGUGAGGAAUACAUCGGAAUCUACUCUGUCGUGGGGGAUAACGUAGGGAAACUUACGCUAAUACCGCAUACGACCUACGGGUGAAAGCAGGGGAUCUUCGUACCUUGCGCGAUUGAAUGAGCCGAUGUCGGAUUAGCUAGUUGGCGGGGUAAAGGCCCACCAAGGCGACGAUCCGUAGCUGGUCUGAGAGGAUGAUCAGCCACACUGGAACUGAGACACGGUCCAGACUCCUACGGGAGGCAGCAGGC